RNAcentral lists this ribosomal RNA (441 nucleotides) under Triticum aestivum (bread wheat). Its description in RNAcentral is "partial small subunit ribosomal RNA". The record is from RNAcentral. Lineage: Eukaryota; Viridiplantae; Streptophyta; Magnoliopsida; Poales; Poaceae.
AUGAUAGAUGCUGACGCGCAUCUUUGGCAAAACUUGAUGACUACGUGGCCAGAAAUAGCUAAGUUCCAGAAUAAGCCCUUUCCCCUCUACGAUAAGCUUGGUGAUCUAUAUGAUGGGCACAUAGCAGAAGGUAACUUCAAUUUCACAUCAACUGAGGUUACACAAGUGAGUGAUGGUGAUCCCGAAGUUGAAAGAGAGAAGACCGCCUUCUCUUUUGACCUGAAUCAAUACAAUGAUGAUUUACGCAUGUAUGAUGAUCCAAGAGAUGCCGCCCCAAGUGAUGGUCCAAGAGAUACUGCCCCAAGUGAUGGUCCCAGAGAUGCUGGCCCAAGUGAUGGUCCAAGAGGUGAUGGUCCAAGAGGUGAUGCCCCAAGUGAUGGUUCAAGAGAUGCUACACAAAGAGGUGGUGUUGCUGCUUCAAAUAACAAGCAUGUGAAGUAA